ACAGGGAUUGCCUUAGUAACGGCGAGUGAAGCGGCAACAGCUCAAAUUUGAAAUCUGGCUCCUUCGGGCCCGAGUUGUAAUUUGCAGAGGAUGCUUUUGGCGACGUGCCUUCCGAGUUCCCUGGAACGGGACGCCAUAGAGGGUGAGAGCCCCGUACGGUCUGGUGCCGAGCCUCUGUAAAGCUCCUUCGACGAGUCGAGUAGUUUGGGAAUGCUGCUCUAAAUGGGAGGUAAACUCCUUCUAAAGCUAAAUACCGGCCAGAGACCGAUAGCGCACAAGUAGAGUGAUCGAAAGAUGAAAAGCACUUUGAAAAGAGAGUUAAAAAGCACGUGAAAUUGUUGAAAGGGAAGCGCUUGUGGCCAGACUUGUGCCCGGCAGCUUAUCCGUCCCUCCGGGGCGGUGCACUCUGCCGGGCUCAGGCCAGCAUCAGUUUCCGGUCGGGGAGAAAUGCGGUGGGAACGUGGCUCUUCGGAGUGUUAUAGCCCGCCGUUAUGCCCUUCCGGGGACUGAGGUUCGCGCAUCUUUGCAUGGAUGCUGGCGUAAUGGCCACCAGCGACCCGUCUUGAAACACGGACCAAGGAGUCAUCCUAAUAUGCGAGUGUUUGGGUGUUAAACCCCUGACGCGAAAUGAAAGUGAACGGAGGUGAGAGCUUCGGCGCAUCAUCGACCGAUCCUGAUGUUCUCGGAUGGAUUUGAGUAAGAGCAUAUUGGGCUGGACCCGAAAGAAGGUGAACUAUGCUUGGAUAGGGUAAAGCCAGAGGAAACUCUGGUGGAGGCUCGCAGCGGUUCUGACGUGCAAAUCGAUCGUCAAAUCUGAGCAUGGGGGCGAAAGACUAAUCGAACCUUUUAGUAGCUGGUUUCCGCCGAAGUUUCCCUCAGGAUAGCAGUGCUGAUUUCUCAGUUUUAUGAGGUAAAGCGAAUGAUUAGGGACUCGGGGGCGCUUAUUAGCCUUCAUCCAUUCUCAAACUUUAAAUAUGUAAGAAGCCCUUGUUACUUUAGUGAACGUGGGCAU
This 1012-nucleotide ribosomal RNA is filed under the name Antennospora quadricornuta. RNAcentral describes it as "eukaryotic LSU rRNA". It matches the Rfam family "Eukaryotic large subunit ribosomal RNA", at positions 68 to 1108 of the family's 3401-position model. Lineage: Eukaryota; Fungi; Ascomycota; Sordariomycetes; Microascales; Halosphaeriaceae. The record is from RNAcentral.